RNAcentral lists this ribosomal RNA (323 nucleotides) under uncultured Ralstonia sp. Its description in RNAcentral is "bacterial SSU rRNA". It matches the Rfam family "Bacterial small subunit ribosomal RNA", at positions 339 to 655 of the family's 1533-position model. The record is from RNAcentral. Lineage: Bacteria; Pseudomonadati; Pseudomonadota; Betaproteobacteria; Burkholderiales; Burkholderiaceae.
CUACGGGAGGCAGCAGUGGGGAAUUUUGGACAAUGGGCGAAAGCUGAUCCAGCAAUGCCGCGUGUGUGAAGAAGGCUUUCGGGUUGUAAAGCACUUUUGUCCGGAAAGAAAUGGCUCUGGUUAAUACCGGGGGUCGAUGACGGUACCGGAAGAAUAAGGACCGGCUAACUACGUGCCAGCAGCCGCGGUAAUACGUAGGGUCCAAGCGUUAAUCGGAAUUACUGGGCGUAAAGCGUGCGCAGGCGGUUGUGCAAGACCGAUGUGAACUCCCCGAGCUUAACUUGGGAAUUGCAUUGGUGACUGCACGGCUAGAGUGUGUCAGA